GAUGAACGCUCGCGGCAGGCCUAACACAUGCAAGUCGAGGGGGAGGUUACUUUCGGGUAACUGAGACCGGCGUACGGGUGCGUAACGCGUAUACAAUCUGCCUUUCACUGGGGGAUAGCCCGAAGAAAUUUGGAUUAAUACCCCAUAGUAUAGUAAUACGGCAUCGUGAUGCUAUUAAAGCUUAGGUGGUGAAAGAUGAGUAUGCGUUCUAUUAGCUAGUUGGAGAGGUAACGGCUCCCCAAGGCGAUGAUAGAUAGGGGUUCUGAGAGGGAUGUCCCCCACACUGGUACUGAGAUACGGACCAGACUCCUACGGGAGGCAGCAGUGAGGAAUAUUGGACAAUGGUAGGAAGACUGAUCCAGCCAUGCCGCGUGCAGGAUGAAGGUCUUAUGGAUUGUAAACUGCUUUUGUAAGGGAAGAAUAAGGGCUACGCGUAGUUUGAUGACGGUACCUUAAGAAUAAGCAUCGGCUAACUCCGUG
This 480-nucleotide ribosomal RNA is filed under the name uncultured bacterium. RNAcentral describes it as "partial 16S ribosomal RNA". It matches the Rfam family "Bacterial small subunit ribosomal RNA", at positions 28 to 507 of the family's 1533-position model. The record is from RNAcentral.